Alligator mississippiensis (American alligator) is the source of this 6635-nucleotide long non-coding RNA. RefSeq lists it as uncharacterized. The record is from RefSeq and is a predicted model, not a curated record. The transcript is spliced from 3 exons. NCBI's taxonomy places the organism in Eukaryota, Metazoa, Chordata, Crocodylia, Alligatoridae.
GUUGAAUAGUUGCUCUCUGGGUGAUCAUCAUCUAUUCCAUGCACUGAAUGAGGCCUGGGAGCCUGUGGGAAAAUAGAAGCAUGAAAGAAGGUGAUGUUUCUUGGACUGACGUGGCUGCACAGGAAAUACCAAUUGGCUGCUGCUGUGGUAAAUCACAGUUGCCAUGUCUAUGAAUGGCAACAUGCUGUUUUCCCAUCUUAGAUAUUUGAUUCACUUUUGAGAAAUCGAGUGGCUGCGUAGAACCCGGGAGACAAACUUCUUAAAGAUACAGCGAACUGUCUGCCAGAGACCUGCGUUUCAGCUGCCACUUGACUGUUAAACUUUAUUGUAUCUCUAAAUCCAUACACUUUGGCUUAGAGUAAAAGGAGAUGAACAAGAAUAAAAAUCCCACUGUAAAUCACAGUAUGUGGAGUCUCUGAGAAAUUCGCACUGGAUUUCUUGAGCCAACAAUGAAGGGAGGCAAGCCUGAGAUGAGAAAAAGACAGGGAAAUGGGGAGUCAUGAAUACAGCAUAGGAACAGAACUUUCCACAGUGCUGCUUUUCUUGUAGGUUAAUGUAUAGCUGAGAUCCAUCAAAGAGAGCAAAAAAGGGGGAACCCUUCAGCAUUAUUAAUUUAUAACUGACCUUGGAUAAGAGGUGCCUAAUACUUUAAAGAGCUUAAGCACUAGGAAGGGUUUAGUCGGCCACCAGGAAACACUGGAAAAGUAUGCGAGCUGUUGCCAUACAGAAAUUGGACCAUUCUGCCUCACAUUUAGCUAGAAAGCCCACAGUGGCACAAUAAGAAUCUAAACAUUUUUUUUUCCGGUUUGCAGCAGAGGAAGUGAAGGAGUCAAUCCCCACAAGCAGAGAUUGAAAACAGUCACAUAAGCCUUAUGCAUGCAGCACUACUAUUGUAUAUUAUUGUAUAUGCACAUUGCCCGGUAACUGAAAGGGAUAUUCUUGGAAAGCUGCCUAAGGAGUUAGGUUACUGGUAUAGGUUCCAUGGAGCCACACUAAACAUGAAAUUGCCACUACACCUUUCUGGCUUCCACGGGAUUCAGAAAAGACGCCUGCCUAUUGGGUAACCUGUGCUUUUGUUUAGACUAGAGCAAAGAUCCCUCUCUACACAGUUAAAGGCACAAUUUAUGGUGGGGAAAAUGAAUAACCUGACUUAAUGUUGCAAACGAGAAUCUGGUUUGGGAAAGUCAGCAGAAGCUGAUUAAAGGGUAGUGUUCUUGCUGAUGAAAUUGGUGUUGAUGUUGUUCCUGUACCAGCAUCAAAGACCCACACUAAGAGCUACCAGACUGAAGAGAAGGCAGGGUCUGUUAGGAAUGUCAGUACAUAGUAAGCUACAUCAAUGUAUUCACAGUCUCUUUAUCUUAGUGUCCUCUUUGAUAUAGUUUGGAUAAAGAAAUUUUCUGCAAGACCUGAAUGGUCCAUGUGGAUAUCAAGUGUGUGUGGAACACAGAGCCUUAUCAUACCACCUGGGGAUCACUGUAACCCCAAAACUGUGUCAACCCUAAAACUAUGUUAAAAAAUGGUCACAAGGAGAGUGGAAGAGGCCAGGUGAGGCAAUAAAUGCACUCUGAUUCUGGCUCAAAAGCUGUUAUAAAGAUGAGGGAAAACAACUUCUAAAUAACUCGGUUAAUGACCAUUUUUGGAGUUCAAGUUGAGAUUCUGCAAUGCUUCAAUAUAUGUUGUUGUUGUUAUGGUUUUUUUUCCCCCCCACUUCUGAUUUUUAUCCAAAACUGGAAGUACAGGAAAUCCCUCAAGAAAGGCAGUUCUGGAGAUUUUGUUCCAGCCCAAUUUGGGGCUCUGGGGUCUGGGACAGAAGUUGCAUAAACUGGUUUGACCCAAAUCAUAUAAGUCUGAUACUACAUUCAACCAGGUUUAUCUUAAACCAGUUCCAGUCGUUUAGAAACUACUUUAUGUGCCCUGAGCUGCUGUUUUGUUACAGGUUUAAACCAGUUUCUGAUCACUUAAACUGGUUUAUGUGUAACUUCUGUCCCUAGCCUAGAGGACCAGAUCGUUUGGAUAAACCUUGUAAACUUGUGGUUGUUUAUCUGAACUAAACCUGAAAUCUGAAUCUUUUAAGGUUCACCCCUUUCUAUAAGGCCUAACCUAAUUCAAAUUGAAGUCAGUGGGAAGCAAGGCCAUAAGGAAGAUAGGUUUUAAUGUCCUUUUCUUUCUAGCUAUGAAUGAUUCCAGCCCCCAAGAUAACUUCUAUGUGUUGCUGAGCAUUAAACAGGUAGAAAAUGUACCAAAUAUAAACAGCUAAAGACUGUAUACACCAUUGCUCUUCCAGCUGCUAAACAUCUCAUUACAUGCCAGUCCCAGUCUUUGCAGAAGGAGUGAGUCGGUGAGAAGUUCUUAUAUAGCUAUGAUUAUUUUCUAACUGUUGAGUACACUUGUUGAUAUCUGCCCUUCUUGACGAUGAAGAUGAUUGACCAAAAAUGCCACAGCAUUAAGUUACUGAUUAAUUAAGUAAAACAAACCAACCAGUAAAAAACCCACAAGAUUAAACAAAGAACUCUAAGCAAAGCACAUGUUUACCCGGAUCAGUAAGACUUGUUAAAGUUAACACAGUAUUUUUUCCCCACUCAUAAAGCUCAUGCACUGUAGCAUCUAAAGGUCUCCCAUUUAUUUAUUUGCUUUUCCUCACCAUACCUCUGUGAAGUAGGGAAGUAAUUUAUAAUCCCUAUAAUGCAGACAAGGAGCAGAGGCACAUAGCGCAACAUAUUAGUCUUGUGAAGUAAAUGGAAAACCACCCAUUGAUUUCAAUGGAGCUACCGCCCAUAGUAAGAUGUGCUACCAUGAAAAUAUGCCCUGUCUACUCCCUAAUACCUCAUGCUGGAAAAAUGUAAUGUAGCUGCUGUUACAGGGGUACUAGACGUGUGUUAAUAAAGAUUCCCAAGUGCAACUUAGACAUUUACCAAACAGUGGUUAUGUUUCUUUUUUUUUGUUCGCAUUGGUGAGUAUGGAACAGGGGCAAGUAGGCAGGGUUUAUUUUCAUGGCAGUGUUUCCCAGUACAGUGAUACAGAUAUUAGGGUUGUGCAAAGCUUCGGUCCUUGAUUCAAGUCGGUGGAGAUUUGGCCCAAUUCAGUGGCUGAAUCGCCGAAUCUGAAUCGAAUCAGGAGACCCUUUAAUCUCUCUGAAUUGAAUCGGAACCCUCCAAAUCAAUUUGGAGAGAUUCAGAAAGAUUCAGCCAUUCGGACAUAGACACAGAUUUAAAUGUUUUUUCUAUAUACCUCAGGAUACCUGAGCUUGUGAAUGCUGUGAUGGUGGGGCAGAUGGAGUGUGCCACAGAAGCUUGGGGGGCUCCCCAGCGUGCUCGGCAGCAGAGCCGGAAGUGGACCAGAAGCACUUAAUUCCUUGAUGUGCAAUCAAGGAAGUUUCUGGAAAGCAACUAUAAAUUUUCCUUGGAGAAAUCUCAAAAUUAGCAAUGCAUUGCCAGAGAUGGAGAGGAAAGCAUUGCACUUUAAUUUUAAUAAUGUAUUUGUCUGAAACAUGUUUUCUUCACAUUCAGUAUUCCCCCCAAAUCAUACUUUCAUCGAUAAUACUAGUGCUAUGACUUGUCAUCACAGCAAUAAAAUUGUACUGUUUUUAAAUAUCUGCUGCUUUAAAAGCCUUUUUGUAGAUCUUAUUUGAUAGACUUUAGACCAGAUUUUCAGAAGAACUCCAAAAUCAAAAACUCUCAUUUAGUUUCCUAAAAUAUAGGGCUGAAUUUGUUAAAAGGGCCUUGGUAUAUGUCAGUUUGAUGUUAUUCUGAAUGGCUUCUGAGACCUGCUGGAUGACAAGCAAUUUUGAAAACCUUGGCACUUAUGUGAGAUGUCUAAGUGGAAACUCAGUUCUCUUGAAAAAUCUGUUUUUUAGUCAUAUGCAAUGUCUCUAGCACAAUACAGCCUAGGGUGACACUUAGGUUAUCCUCAUUCAAAAGGGUUUUGAACAUUUAAAAAAGGCUUGCAAACAGAUCUGAAUUCAAGUAUACUCUUGAAUGGAUGCAGCAUGGGACAUGGCAAGUUUGUGGGAUGUUUAGAACUUGAAGACUUACACUAUAUUUCAUUUUUCUUGUGCUUGGGUUCUGUCCAUCCAGAAUGAAGCAUCUAAAUUGUUUAGCAUUGAAAUUUCAAGUCUUUAAACCCAGAAGUAGUAAGGCUUGAUUGAAACUGUUCUGCACAGAUACAUUAUGCACCUACCUGUGUGCUGCAGGCAACAAUUCUCAAAUGUACAUAGUACUUCUGCCUCUGAGGAAAUAUGGAUGGGAACAAAAGCUAUAAGAACAUAUUUGGCUUCCAGGGAUAACCUUUUUAUAAAGGAACCCAUCUUUUCUCCUAAUAAAGCUAAUGUAAUAAAGCAUUGAAUUAAUGUAUGUGUAAAAAAUCAGCCAGAAAUAAUAGGUUAAGAAAAAUGUUCAUAGCAGCAGGAUGUAGGAAUGCCUCCUAGAUAUGCUUAACCUGGUAUGUAGAACUGUUUAUAUAGCAAACCAAGAAGAUUAGCUGCUAUACAUAAGGUCCAAGCAGAUUUGAAUCAGAGGAAUUAUGCUUAUUCCAAGGAUAUGCUAUACCAAACUUUUUAUGAUCAAAGAUUGCUUUGGGGGCUUUCCCACAGAUUGUACACUUAACCUGAACUUGAGAUAGAACUAGAAAGUUAUCUGGUUCAAAUGUUCACCAUCUGAAUCAUCUUUAGCUUAUCUGAGCGUAUAUCUUUGCUGCCUCUGUCUUUUCUAACUUCAUUAAAUUGACAAUACACAUUGCCAUCCACCCCUUGGUUAUAACUUAUUUUGAAGAAUGUUUACACAGCUAAAUAAUUGCACAGUCCAUUUUCAAGUGGGAUAUGUAACAUCUUUUUGAUUUUAAAAUGUUUUAAUGAGGAGGUCAGUAAAAAGCAAAUUACCAUCAAUGGUAGCAUAUUCUAGCACCAAUGCUGUUUUAUCUUUCAUGGAGAAAUAAACUGGGCAAUAAACUCAUGUGAUUAUCAGUGUGAAUGAAAUCAUUCAGUAGAGCAAAAUCACAAGAAUAAACAAUCCCACAUUCCAUCAAAAGAGAAAAUUUCAUUUGGAGCUUCAAAUGAAAGAACAGUUGUACUAGAGGGAUGGUGAGCUAUGAGCACUGAUCCAAUACCUCUUCUCUUUGAAGACAAGACCUAUACCUCUAGAUCUGGAUCAGAACAUCAUGGCUUGGGCCUGUCUCUAUUGGCCAGAACUAGAACAUUGAAUCAACUUUGUAUAGCUUUGGUGAGGUUAGAUCCAUUCCUGCUCUAGAUCUGAGAUUCACAGCUUGGGGCUCAGAAUAAGAACAUUCAAUUAAAAAACUACCAAAUUCUGGGAAAGCUGAGAGGCAGGUCUAGAUCUGCAUCUAAAUGGUAUAGUUGGGGUUCAGUUUAUCUCUAAAGCAAGCAAUUUAAUAUGCAACUACAUUCUAUAUUCUUUUGCCACUCUUACUUGUUUCAGAUUCAUAUAAUUUGCCAUCAGAUCAAAAUGAGUUUCUUUUGCUUAAACAUAUUUAUUAUCAUAAUUUGUCUUAGGAAUGACUUUGUUGUUACAAAUUUAAUGCUGUAUCUUUUCUGCUGGAACAGAGAGGAGCAGGAAGAGACAUUUGGGGUGAGGGGGGCAAAUAGCUGGAUGUCAAAGUUUUUUGUCUAAGGUCAUUUCAGGUCAAACAAGGUUAAAGGUUGGUCAUUGGUUUAGUCCUUCCAAAAAAUCAGGCUACUUAUUUAAGUUCCUAAAUAUGGAUUUUGGAGCUCAACAUUGAAUAUCCAGUCUUUAAAAUCAUGUUAAUUUCUGCUUUCUGAUUUUAAACUUUUCAAACAGGAGAAUAAGAAAGGAUGAUUAUCAACUUGAAUACUGUCUACUAUUAGUUUUCAGAUAAAUAAUCACUUACUUAGAAACUGAAGAAAUUAAGACAGUCCAUUAAUAGCUAGUGCUUGUCCAAAAAUUUGUAAACUACUAAUAAUUUGACCUCAUAUAUAACAGUAGUGGAUUUCAUUACAUUAAUUGUGAAAAUAUUUGAAAAUUACUUUCUGCAUUAUUCCACCAACUAUGGUGAAGGUCCAAACCAAAUAAGCCUUUUGGAGAGGAAAGGCAACAGUUCAAAUUAUAAAGAGAGAAGCUACUGAAAAAAUCAGUGCAGUCGGUUCAUUCUUUAAAGAACUGGUGUAUUAGAAUCUGUGUGAGCCAGACAGCUGAAUUUCAUGACAGACAGAUAUUUUCUGUGAUUCUUUCUGUCUCAGUUUCAAUUACAUCAUGCAAGAACACUUCCUCUCCUGGGGCAGGCUUUGUUUGCCCUGCAUUUUAAUGAAAUCCUGAACAGUUGUUCAAGAAGUGCCCCAUUUCUUGUACUCUGCAAAAGAAUUUAGGAAAAUAAUUGAAAGACCUGCUACUUGAAACAUGGAAAUGUUUGCCACAUUUCUACUUUUGACAUAAUAUGUAUCUAAAAUGAGUUUUAUACUUCAUCAUUUGCCUGCCCAUCAAAAUCUAUAUAUUCUGUUUAGUGGUUUAGCUGAUAUAUCUCAGGAAAAGUAUUCUUCAGGGCUCUUAUAUGGUGAUCUGAGAAAAAGGGGAGAGAGCAAUUCUUAAAUUCUGCUUCUGAUUUAGAUGCUUUUUUACCUUCUGCUUAUUUCUGCAUUCCAAUGUAUUACAUUUUGCAAAGGGACAUAA